GUGGGGAAUAUUGGGCAAUGGGCGAAAGCCUGACCCAGCAACGCCGCGUGAAGGAAGAAGGUUUUCGGAUCGUAAACUUCUAUCCUUGGUGAAGAUAAUGACGGUAGCCAAGAAGGAAGCCCCGGCUAACUACGUGCCAGCAGCCGCGGUAAUACGUAGGGGGCAAGCGUUGUCCGGAAUGAUUGGGCGUAAAGGGCGCGUAGGCGGCCCGGUAAGUCUGAAGUGAAAGUCCUGCUUUUAAGGUGGGAAUUGCUUUGGAUACUGUCGGGCUCGAGUGCAGGAGAGGUAAGCGGAAUUCCCGGUGUAGCGGUGAAAUGCGUAGAGAUCGGGAGGAACACCAGUGGCGAAGGCGGCUUACUGGACUGUAACUGACGCUGAGGCGCGAAAGUGUGGGGAGCAAACAGGAUUAGAAACCCUGGUAGUCC
RNAcentral lists this ribosomal RNA (425 nucleotides) under uncultured bacterium. RNAcentral describes it as "partial 16S ribosomal RNA". It matches the Rfam family "Bacterial small subunit ribosomal RNA", at positions 354 to 796 of the family's 1533-position model. The record is from RNAcentral.